RNAcentral lists this transfer RNA (78 nucleotides) under Deltaproteobacteria bacterium HGW-Deltaproteobacteria-4. RNAcentral's name for it is "tRNA-Pro". Lineage: Bacteria; Deltaproteobacteria. The record is from RNAcentral.
AGUGAUAACGCCUGAAACAGUAAAGCCCCUUGCUUCGGGAGCAAGGGGCCGGAGGUUCAAAUCCUCUCAUCCCGACCA